AGAGUUUGAUCCUGGCUCAGGACGAACGCUGGCGGCGUGCCUAAUACAUGCAAGUCGUACGCAUUGAUAAUGGAACUUGUUCCAUUUGAUGUGAGUGGCGCACGGGUGAGUAACACGUGGGAAACCUACCCUUCAGCGGGGGAUAACCGUCGGAAACGAUGGCUAAUACCGCAUAGGUCUUUGAGUCACCUGACUUAAAGAGGAAAGACGGCUUCGGCUGUCACUGAAGGAUGGUCCCGCGGUGCAUUAGCUAGUUGGUAAGGUAAUGGCUUACCAAGGCAAUGAUGCAUAGCCGACCUGAGAGGGUGAUCGGCCACAUUGGGACUGAGACACGGCCCAAACUCCUACGGGAGGCAGCAGUAGGGAAUCUUCCGCAAUGGACGAAAGUCUGACGGAGCAACGCCGCGUGUGUGAAGAAGGACCUCGGAUCGUAAAGCACUGUUAUUAGAGAAGAAUAUCCGGUAGAGUAACUGUUACCGGCCUGACGGUAUCUAACCAGAAAGCCACGGCUAACUACGUGCCAGCAGCCGCGGUAAUACGUAGGUGGCAAGCGUUGUCCGGAUUUAUUGGGCGUAAAGGGAGCGCAGGCGGUGAUUUAAGUCUGAUGUGAAAGCCCACGGCUCAACCGUGGAAGGUCAUUGGAAACUGGAUCACUUGAGUGCAGAAGAGGAAAGUGGAAUUCCAUGUGUAGCGGUGAAAU
RNAcentral lists this ribosomal RNA (700 nucleotides) under uncultured bacterium. Its description in RNAcentral is "bacterial SSU rRNA". It matches the Rfam family "Bacterial small subunit ribosomal RNA", at positions 8 to 687 of the family's 1533-position model. The record is from RNAcentral.